CACGAGUUGGACUUUAGGUUUUGAGCUCAAACAUGUCAUGAUAAGUGGUGAUGAUCAUGUUAAGGUUAAUCCAUGAAAGUAAGCCCCAAUUUAAACUUGGAUAAUACAUUUUUGCUUACAUAUAGACCCAUAUACACUUGCUCUGGGUCCACAUGUCAGCACAUAUCACACAUAUAUAUAUAUACCCCAGCCCUCCACACUCCCUCUCUCAAUCCCCCAUUUGUCCCAACGCCAAGCACCAGGAAACAGAGGGAGAGAGGAAAAGGAGAGGAGAGGAGAAGAAGAAGAGGAGAGGAGAAGAAGGAGGAGGACGCCCAGCCCUUGCUGGAGGAUGACACCAGUGAUGAGCUGCUGCUCCCCACGCCCUCAGCCUUGCCAAAGAUGGUGAAGACAGCCCCAAGCUUCAUCUUCUUCAAGCUUAAGCCAUGGAGGAGUCCCCAUCUCGAUCUCCUUCCUUGCUGUGUUCCUAGCUGAACUACUCCUACUGGAGCAUCCCAAGACCGUGGUGAGCACAUCCCAAAAGCCCAUCUCCAUCUUCCCCAUCUCCCCCUCCCUUUACUGCAGAAAGCAGCAACCCUGCUCCAGUGUCCAAUGGUCUUCCAUGAAGAUUGGUCUUCCCCACCUCUUCCUGCUUCCCUAGGGUUUGUGGGUGACCAUGAUUUUCUUGGGGAAGAAAUCAAGACAACUUAGAAGAUGAAAUAGGUGUUUUCGUCAACUACAAAGUUGUAGAGGACCUUCAGAUCUACUAGCUCGUGAAAUAUCAUGAUUUUAUCCCAUCAGGUCUUGUCUAUGCUUUGGACAGAGAUGUCUUCAUGGGGUUAAUUGACCUUGUUAACUAUGAAAUCAUCUUAAGAUGAUAAUAAUAAAGUUGUAGGUAACUUUAUAAGCUUUCUACGAAGUUAAUAAUCAUGUUUGUUGGAGGUCUACAACUCCAGUUAUGCUUGUUUAAAGUGUCUAUCAGUUUUCCACCUAUAAUUGUACCCUACUGUUUGGGGCAACAUGAGCAGUCCUGAUUGUGCAAUGAAUUUCAUAGUAUAAAUUAUGUUUGCUGUGAAACUUGUCUAUACAAAAGUUGUAGAUAACUCUUUCAUAUAGCUUUUGUUAGAGUUUCAUAUCAUUUGGACAAAUGGUUUCUGAGUUAUAAGGGUAUUAAGUUUAUCUGUCAAAAUGCUUGAUCUCUGGAAUUCCUG
This is a long non-coding RNA of Sorghum bicolor (sorghum), 1190 nucleotides long. RefSeq lists it as uncharacterized. NCBI's taxonomy places the organism in Eukaryota, Viridiplantae, Streptophyta, Magnoliopsida, Poales, Poaceae. The transcript is spliced from 3 exons. The record is from RefSeq and is a predicted model, not a curated record.